GCUACUAGAGAAGCUCGAUCAUUGAUGAAGUUCGAAAGAAGUUCGGAGUAGAGAUCCGGCUGGUGGAGCUCAUCCGUUGUAGGAGUUCGUCUGGAAUUUAUCCGCUGUAGAAGUUCGACUGGGAUACGACUCUUGUAGGAGCUCAGAUGAAAUCUCGAAGGCGAUCGACCAUCGUAGAAACUUGGAUGGAGUCUGAUUACUGUAGAAGUCCUGCUAUUGGAGAAGCUCGGACAUUGACGAAGUUCGAAAGAAGUUCGGAGUAAAGUCAUCCGUGACCGGAAGAAGUCUGGAAGAGAUUUAGAUAAUAGUCGAUCGCUAUAGAAAAUCAGCUGAUAGUGAAGCUCGAAAAGUGCUUGGAGCAGCCCGGUAGAUGAAUGGAGGAGCUCAUUAUUGGAGAAGCUCGGAUGGUAUUAUGGAAACUUGGACAGCCGGGGA
This 435-nucleotide long non-coding RNA is filed under the name Elaeis guineensis (African oil palm). RNAcentral's name for it is "long non-coding RNA (EGUI_LNC066589)". Lineage: Eukaryota; Viridiplantae; Streptophyta; Magnoliopsida; Arecales; Arecaceae. The record is from RNAcentral.